This 507-nucleotide ribosomal RNA is filed under the name uncultured bacterium. RNAcentral describes it as "partial 16S ribosomal RNA". It matches the Rfam family "Bacterial small subunit ribosomal RNA", at positions 28 to 507 of the family's 1533-position model. The record is from RNAcentral.
GACGAACGCUGGCGGCGUGCUUAACACAUGCAAGUCGAACGGGCCUUGUCCCCUUUUUUUUGGGGGUGGGGUUAGUGGCGAACGGGUGAGUAACACGUGAGUAACCUGCCCCUCACUUCUGGAUAACCGCUUGAAAGGGUGGCUAAUACGGGGUGUUCUGGCCUGCUCGCAUGGGUGGGUUUGGAAAGAUUCGACCGGUUUUGGUUGUUUUGGUGGGGGAUGGGCUCGCGGCCUAUCAGCUUGUUGGUGGGGUGAUGGCCUGCCAAGGCUUUGACGGGUAGCCGGCCUGAGAGGGUGGGCGGUCCCAAUGGGACUGAGACACGGCCCAGACUCCUACGGGAGGCAGCAGUGGGGAAUAUUGCACAAUGGGCGCAAGCCUGAUGCAGCGACGCCGCGUGAGGGAUGGAGGCCUUCGGGUUGUGAACCUCUUUCGCCAGUGAAGAAGGUCCUGCUCUUUGUGGUGGGGUUGACGGUAGCUGGGUUAAUGAAGCGCCGGCUAACUACGUG